RNAcentral lists this ribosomal RNA (498 nucleotides) under uncultured bacterium. RNAcentral describes it as "partial 16S ribosomal RNA". It matches the Rfam family "Bacterial small subunit ribosomal RNA", at positions 28 to 507 of the family's 1533-position model. The record is from RNAcentral.
GACGAACGCUGGCGGCGUGCCUAAUACAUGCAAGUCGAACGAGAGCGCCCGGUGCUUGCACUGGUCAAUCUAGUGGCGAACGGGUGAGUAACACGUGGGUAACCUGCCCAUCAGAGGGGGAUAACAUCCGGAAACGGAUGCUAAAACCGCAUAGGUCUUCGAGCCGCAUGGCUUGAAGAGGAAAAGAGGCGCAAGCUUCUGCUGAUGGAUGGACCCGCGGUGCAUUAGCUAGUUGGUGAGGUAACGGCUCACCAAGGCCGUGAUGCAUAGCCGACCUGAGAGGGUGAUCGGCCACAUUGGGACUGAGACACGGCCCAAACUCCCACGGGAGGCAGCAGUAGGGAAUCUUCCGCAAUGGACGCAAGUCUGACGGAGCAACGCCGCGUGAGUGAAGAAGGUUUUCGGAUCGUAAAACUCUGUUGUUAGAGAAGAACAAGUGCUAGAGUAACUGUUAGCGCCUUGACGGUAUCUAACCAGAAAGCCACGGCUAACUACGUG